Molecule: ribosomal RNA, 442 nt
Filed under: uncultured bacterium
Lineage: Bacteria
Description: partial 16S ribosomal RNA
Rfam family: Bacterial small subunit ribosomal RNA
Source: RNAcentral
CCUACGGGAGGCAGCAGUGGGGGAUAUUGGACAAUGGGGGGAACCCUGAUCCAGCGACGCCGCGUGAGUGAAGAAGUAUCUCGGGAUGUAAAGCUCUAUCAGUAGGGAAGAAGAAAUGACGGUACCUGAGUAAGAAGCCCCGGCUAACUACGUGCCAGCAGCCGCGGUAAUACGUAGGGGGCAAGCGUUAUCCGGAAUUACUGGGUGUAAAGGGAGCGUAGACGGUGUUGUAAGUCUGGAGUGAAAGUUGGGGGCUCAACCCCCGAACUGCACUUGAAACUAUGUGACUUGAGUGCAGGAGAGGUAGGCGGAAUUCGUGGUGUAGCGGUGAAAUGCGUAGAUAUUAGGAGGAACACCAGUGGCGAAGGCAGCUCACUGGACUGUAACUGACGUUGAGGCUCGAAAGCGUGGGUAGCAAACAGGAUUAGAUACCCGAGUAGUC